Molecule: long non-coding RNA, 26969 nt
Filed under: Citrus maxima (pomelo)
Lineage: Eukaryota; Viridiplantae; Streptophyta; Magnoliopsida; Sapindales; Rutaceae
Description: long non-coding RNA (CMAX_LNC000907)
Source: RNAcentral
GGGAAGAAAGCAGCAGCAGAGGAGAUGGUACUGUACAGGAAAAGAAGAGAUCAGAUUCACAUUCACGCCACAACCUCAACCUCCUCUCCGACUCCGAGUUUGGGAAACCUGGUUUCUAUUACAAUUCGGGGAUGUGGGAAAUUACGAAACCUCUUCACAACCUCCAUGGUCAAAAGCCUGGUGCGACUUGAAAGCCUAGAAGUAAGAAGCUGCCCAACACUGCAAGAAAUAAUCAUGGAUGAUGAAGGAGAAGUGGGACUGCAGGGAGCAUCAACAAAGAAGAUCACGUUUCCAAGUUUGUUCGGCAUAAAACUCUGUGAUCUAGACAGCCUUGCUUGUUUCUGCUCGACAGGUUUACAUCACUUUUAAAUAAUUGACUGUCCAGGCAUGAAGACCUUUGGUUAUGGUGACCAACUGACACCCAAGCUGCUGAAAGGUGUGGAGUUAGAAAUUGGUGAAUAUCGCUGGACGGGUAACCUUAACCACACCAUUACCCAAUACGUACAAUGAAGAGGUACAUCAAGUUAGCAAUUGCAUGCUUGUUAAAUUCCUUGGUUUUUUUUUUUUUUUUUUAAUUUUAAUUGUAUUUGUAUGUGGUGGUAAAAUGAUUUUCUACAUCUGCUUAUACUAGCACACCAUUUUAAUUUUGUUUUUCAUUUGGGGCAGAAAAUCAGGGAAAAACAAGCAAUGGAGUCGGGAAUUUCAUCUGAGACUACUUCCUCUUACACUGAGAAUUGAUUGUAUAAAACAAACGGUAUGCAUGCGUAAAAUUUUACUAAAUUCCCUAGAUUUUGUCACAUAUUUAUCCUUUGACAUUGCUCUAACUAAUUCAAAUACUUGAUUUGUUUUCAGAACCAUCAUGUAAGGAGCGUUGACAGGUUCGCAUACAUCACCAGUUUAUUGAAUUUCAUUCUUCUUUUUCAUGUCUUAUAUAUUAUAUGUACAAAAGAAUUUCAUGCAUUUUCUUCCUUUGGGAUUGUGCAUGAUGUUAUUUAUUCUGGUUUCAAUCUCUCAGGUAUGCCAAGCCCAGAUGCCAGAUUGCUUGGGAUGUUAAAAUAAUAAUUACUUUAGUUAGUGGAGCUGCCUGCAAAAAUUUGGUAUCCAUAAUGUAUGUUGUUUGUUUAGAUAUUAAACAGUUAGAGUUUGUUAAUCAUAGACGUAUUCUCAAUGUGCUAAGUAUCGGCAGGGAACUGCUGAGUUCAAUUCUGAAAAAUAAAUGUAAUUUGGUAUUACAAGUGAGAAAAAUAAUUGUGAAUUCUUAUUUCUUUUGUUCGCACUUGGUUACUAGUCAAUUUAAGAGAUACCUUAAUGAUAUUCUCUUCUUCUAUUUCUUCUAUUCUUAAAUUGUUGUUCAUAAUUAAAAAAUAAAUAAAAUUAUUUGAUAUCCUAGUAACCUACUUUUAGAGCCUGCUAAUUUAGUUGCAGCUUUGCAGUAUUGAGUUACUGAAUUAAAAAUAUUAGAUUUUCCCUCUUUCCAGAUCAAUGCAUGCUAAUGCAACAUUGCUUUUGCUUGCUGGCAAUAGAACAGGCUGCCAAUGGAACACAAAUUUAUAAGUUUCGGAAUAAAGUUUUCAUUAAUUAAUAAAAAGCUGAAUGACAAUUUCCUAGUAACAUAUGCCGAAUCUGGAGCCACAUUCUCUUGGUAACCAUUUUUCCAAAGUUCAAAAGCUUCUCUGCUAGUUGUGCCCAAUCCUGUCUCAAGCCAAUCUCAGAAAUAACCUCUGAGAAGAUGCCCUGCCAUCAGAAUUCAAUCAAGGGCCUUCAGGAUUUAGCUGACAGAUGCUUGAAGCAAAAUUUUAACUUCAGCAGCAGCUGAACCCAGAAAAUCCACAGCCAUUUGAUCAUUAUCAAAUGCAAAAUGAACAGGCACAAGGAAAAAAACAGGUACCAGAAUUUGAGCAGCAGCUCCGUGGUUGCCGGUGGGAGCUUCACUAAUGGAGUGUGAGCACAGAAAUUGAGCCAUCAUCAUUCUGAGUUCCGAAGAGUUUAUUGUGUUUCUAUUAUGAGUUGAUUUAGUGUUUUGACUAUGUUCUGGUUUUGAGUUGAAUGAUUAUUUCAACAUAACUUUGUCUUGAACAGAUUGUGUUUGGAGUAAAAUUCUCAUAAAAGGGCUGACAGUGACAAGUUCUGUACGUUCCCGAAGGAAGAUUCACCGUAUAUAUUAUUGGCCUUAUGAAGAGAAGCAAGGCUCUGCAGGUUGAGCAAUUGGUGUUGGUUUUGUGACCAAUUGCCAUGAUGAUGAUCAGUAUCAUCAAUAUUAUCCCGCACAUUAAGCCUGCCCAUGCCUCGGUUGCAUCAUGCCAAUCAUUAUUUAUCAUCAUCAGUCUGCGUGAUGGGCUCUGCAACACCACCAUACUCCUCUAGUGCCAUUGUAAUAUCACAAAGCAAGAAGUUGAAACCUGCUGCUGAUGAGCUCUGCAACAUCACCGUACUCCUCUGAUGCCAUUGUAAUAUCACAAAACAAGAAGUUAAAAUGUAGAAAAUGUUUAAAAUCAAAUAAAAUUUGAACCAAAAAAAAAAAACCACCGAAAGAUUGCACUCACAGUUUUGCGGAAGAAAUUUCCACACUUAAAACGAACAAAAGAGGUAACAGAAAACACGCAUUCUACUAGGAUAAGGAAACCUCGGUUAGUUUUAUAAUAUUAAAUUACUACUAAAACAAUGUGUUUUUGUGUUUAAUAAGAAAAAUUAAAAUUGAGUUGAAUCUUGUCCAUCCAAUAAUUUAAAUAACACACGUCAAAAUGUCUUUAAAACAUUAGGAAAGAUUAGAGUAUGAAGGAAACUGGAUCCAACUAUUGGGAUAAUUAGUAAUAAAUUUACAAUCAGAAUUAAUCUUUACAAAUUGUUUAAAACUGCACCUCAUAUAUAUUUAGACUCCAUUUGAUAUAGCCUCUGAAAUACAUUUUAUUUAAAUAGAACUUUUACAAAUAGAGUUUUUAUUUAAAAAAAAUUAGUUGCUUGGUUGUUAAUAAGAGUUUUUAUUAAAAAUUAUAAAAUUAUCAAAGUUUAAAGUUAUGUUAUAAAAAAAUAAAAUAAUAAUAUAAAACAAAUAAUGAGCAUUUUAGACAAUUGAACUUUCUAAGAAAAAAAAAACUUUGUAACCUCUAGCCCUAAAAACUCAAAAUUUGAGCUUUUUUUAAUGGAGGUAAAAUACUAUUUAUUUCACUCUCAAAAGCUCAAUUAAAAUAAAAUAAAAAACCAAACAACAAAAAAUAAAUAAAAAAUUUAGAAAGAACUUAUAUACAUUAGAUAAGUCAUUCAAGCAGGCAUUUAAAAGGAAAAAAAAUAUUCAGUUAAAACUCAACUCAAAGUAUCAAGUUUAACUUAAAAGCUAGGGCUAAUGGGUUGAGCCCUCGCUAGCUCAUGGUACAAUUACAAACUUUUAAAAUACGAUUUAUAUAAAUGAAAUUAAUUUAACAUUUAUGUGAUAAAAGAUUAAGAAAUCUUUAGUCAAAUAAGAAAACUAAUAUAUGCGAUUUUUAUGGGAAAACAAAUUGGUGGAAAGAAUCUCAAUUUCGCAUAAUUAAUUUUAUUUUCAAUAUUAUAUUAUAUUAAUAAUUUUUGUCAAAAUUAUUAUUUAUUUAAUGUGAAAACAAAUGCAUGGUAUAAUAUUUAUUCUAUUACUUAAAUUUAAAAUUAUAAAGAAUAAAACUUAAAUCUAAAAUUGUAAAGAAUGAAUAAUAACUUAAAUUAAUAGAUUAUGGGAGGAUACCUUUCAAAAAAAAUAAAAUUAACUAACUUUUUAGGCUUCUAACGUAACAUUUUUAUUUUUUGUUGUUAACAUAAGACAAAAAUUUAGUCUAAAAAACUCAUUCUAGGGUCUUCUUAGGGUAAAAAAAAAUCAUUAUCACAUGAUAAUUUAGCCUAAGUUGUAUUAUUUUUAAUUUACUUAUUCAUCCCAAACACCUUAUUGAAAUUAAAUUUUAGUAAAGUAAACCCAUCCCACCAUCUUUAAUCGCAUUCAGUAGGCACUAAUUGAUUAGAUCUUGUUAUAGAAAGUAAUAUAUAACUCUUUCUUUAUUACAAUGCUAAAAAAAAAAAACAUAAACACAAUAUAUUUCUUUUGAGAAAAUGCAAGUAUUAUGUUUUUUAGGUUUUGUGUUUAAGAAAUUAAUCUAAUUUAUGUAGUUAUAAGACUCUUAUUUUUUUAUGUUUUAGAAGAAUUAUAUGUUUGAUAAUGAAUAAAUUAAGAUUUAAAGUAGGACAAACUAAUUUUAGAGGGAGAUAGAGAAAAUAAUUUUUUUAGAAUUCGAAAAUUAUUAUAUUUUAAUUGGGGCUUAUUACAUAAAAUUAUUAAAACAUAUGGUUUUUAUUAUUUAUAGAAAACAAUAGGAAUUGCUAAAGAAAACACUAAAUAAUUUUUUUAAAUUUGAAAUUAUUAUAUUUUAAUUGGGGCUUAUUGCAUAAAAUUUACAAAAAUUAUAAUUUCAAUUAUUUACAGGAAACAAUAGUGACUGUUAAAUAAAUAUCAAAUUUGGGGGUUUGGUACAACGGUUGCAAAGUAGUUUUGUCCUCCUUUUCAUUAAUAGAGAAUUAUCUCCUCAAUUAUUGAUUGGGGUUUGUACCCUCUCUUUUUUUUUAAAUAUUUAAUUUUCGACACUUUACUCUUUCUUUGUCCGAUUACAAUUUUUGUUCUGUUGUGAUGCUCUUCUUUUUCUUAGAGUACAUACUUUGACACAAGACCAGUAAUCUGCUCAUCAAUCUCAAGCGUGUAUUAUUGCAAUUGAUUGCUUUCUCACCCCUUCAUUAACCCAGAAAAUACAUACAUCCUAGCCUAAAUUACUGUCUGCUCAUUACCUUUUAUACCAUUAUUCCUUCGUCCUUAACCUCAGAAAACAAGUUGAAUAUGGCCGCGGAAACUGUUGCUUCAGUUACCCAGCCUAUUACGGAGAAGAUUGUUGACGUGUUGUUCAAUGCAACAGUCCGUCAGUUUGGUUACUUGUGUAAGUACAAACACUACAUUGAAGCGUUGAGGACGGAAGCAAAGAAGCUUACAGAUACAAGAAAUGACUUGCAAGCGGAAAUUGAUGCUGCAACAAGAAAUGGAGAAGCUAUUAAGGAUGAGGUUCAAAGAUGGCCAGACAAAGUUGAUGAGAUCAUUCCAACAGCUGAAAAGUUUUUGGAGGAUGAAGUGAAAGUAAACAAGACAUGCCUUGGCGGGUUGUGCGUUGAUCUCAAAUCACGCUACAAACUCAGCAGAGAGGCAGAGGAGAAGAUUCUGGCAAUUUCCGCUCUCAUAGCUGCUGGUAAUUUUGGAAAAGAUGUGUCUCGUCCUGCCCCUCCACCAGCAAUAAUAUCUUUGUCUGAAGGAUUCUACAAUUUCAAAUCCAGGGAAUCAACAAUGAAGGAUAUAAUGGAGGCCAUGAAGGAUGAAAAAGUCAGCAUAAUUGGAAUAUGCGGAAGGGGGGGUAUCGGGAAGACCACACUAGUCAAGGAAAUUCAGAAGCAAGCAAAAGAAAAGAAGAUGUUUGAUGAAGUAGCGAUGGCCGUUGUGUCUCAAACUCCAAGCAUUACCAAGAUUCAAGAUGAGAUUGCUGGCUGGUUAGGUAUUAAAGAACUGCCUGACAAUGACGAGUUAGUAAGAGCUAGUCUUUUGUGCAAAAGAAUUGAGAAGCAGAGAGUGCUUGUCAUAUUGGACGACUUAUGGGUGCAGAUAGAAUUGGAUAGGGUUGGUAUUCCUUACGGAAAUGAUGGCUGUAAAUUUUUGCUCACAUCUCGAUCACGUGCUGCCUGCAAUCAAAUGCAAGCUCAUAUUGUUGAUGUCAGAACUUUAACAGAAGAGGAAUCUUGGAGGAGUGCUGAAGGAAAGAGACGAGUAUGUUUGGAAAGAUGCAGCCUAACAACUUAAAAGUUCCACCCCAACGAACAUCGAAGGGAUGGAAGAGUUUGUAGUUUCACGCGUGGAACUGAUCUACAAUUAUCUGAAAAGCGCGGAGGCAAAAUCAAUCUUCCGACUCUGUAGCUGCUUUCCAGAAGAUUACAAUAUUCCAAUUGAAGUGUUGGCGAGAUACGGAUAGGGUUUGAGGUGCUUACAAAACGUCGAUUCAGUGGAGAAGGCCAGAUGCAGAGUACGUAGUGCUGUAAGCUAUGACGAGGAGGAAGGGUGUGCUAAAAUGCAUGACGUUGUACGCUAUGUUGCACAACAAAUAGCAUCUUGUUAGUGAUAUCGAAAGCAGAGCACAGAUUCAGGGUAUGACUGACUGCAGCUGAUUAGCUCAUGAAAGCUGACUUGGCAAGUUAGUUAUCCAGCUCAUCUCACACAGCUGAAAUAUAACGAACUGAGUGAAUUGUUGAGUCGGUUUUAGCUUGCUAUAUAAACGUGUAUUUUGCACUCAGAUGUAAGGUUAAGAAACAUCAAUAAAAUCACAGAUUCGUUUUCACUUUCCUUUUUCAUUUUCUUAAGCUUUCUAGUUAACCAAACAACUAUUUUCUAUAGUUUUGUCAUGGUAUCAGAGCUACGGAUGACGAAUAUAAAUCAAAACAAUCUUUCCUUCAGCUUUGUUACACCAAUUAAGUUGGAUCAGAAUAAUUUCAUUCUUUGGCGCACGCAAGUUCUUACAACGGUGAAAGGAAAUGGAUUGGAAGGUUUUAUUAAUGGCGAUAACAAAUGUCCAGAACAGUUUCUCAUCUCUGAGAGUGAUAUUGAGAGUGUAGUAUCAACUGGAAGCUCAAGAUCUAUAAACUCUGAGUUUGUAGCUUGGAUGAAGACUGACCAGCUACUGUUGAGUUGGAUGAUGUCAUCGAUCCAGCAAAAUCUGCUCUCUACAGUGAUCGAUUGUACAACAUCUAAGCAACUCUGGGAGACUCUUACUGGUAUGUUUAUCUCCCAAUCUCAGGCUCGAAUCCAAACACUGAGAAUGCAAAUCCAAACCAUUAAGAAAGGUUCAAUGCAUAUGGCUGACUAUUUUGCUAAAGUUAAACGAAUAGCAGACACUUUAGCUUUAGCUGGUAAACCAGUAGAGUUAGGCGAUUUGAUUAUGCAUGUCUUGAUUGGUCUUGACUCAUUUGACUGUGAAUCUUUAGUGACUGCUGUCUUGGCUAGAGGUGACAAGAUAACACUGGAUGAAUUAUAUUCCUUGUUAUUGAAUCAUGAAAUUAGAAUUGAACAGAAGAGAGGGAAAAUUACUAGUGAUGUGAUGCAUAAUAUGACAGCUAAUGUUGCUCAAAGAAAUACAUAUUCUGGUAAAAAUAAUGGUGGUUUUCAAAAGAAUUAUGGAGGAAAUUUUGGAAAUGGAAACAAUUCAGGUUUCGGUGGUUUUAAUAGUGGUGCUUCUGGUAAUAGUUCUGGUAAUGGUGGUGGUGCUUUUAAUGGAAAUAACUUCUCUGAUGUUGUUUGUCAAAUAUGCUACAUACCUGGACAUGGAGCUUAUAAGUGCAGAAACAGAUACAACUCAUCAUUUGUGCCUCAGAAAAACUAUGGUAGAGGCAACUUUGAUAGUGGUUUUAGACCUCCUGGACAAUUUGGAAAAGGUAGAUUUUUUAAUGGUGGUGGUAGAGGCCCUGGACAAUUCAACAACAAUUAUAAUUCACCAAGAGGUUUUGGUUUUCAAGGUGGUUCUGGUUUUCAGGGUAACAUAGUGCAUGCAGAAAAUUCCUUUAGCACUCCAUCUGCAUUUUACUCUUUUACUCCUGGUUCAUCAACAUAUGCUCCAACUGAAAACCCUGACAAUAGUGGUCAAUACAAUGCCUCUACUUCAUCUUCUCUGCCUCCAUCAAAUCCAAAUGUGUCCCCUGAGCUUGUUGAAGAUCCCUCAUGGUACUUUGACAGUGGAGCAACAAACUACAUCACCAAUGAUUUAGGUAAGCUUCUUUAUUCACAAGCUUAUACUAGUGAGGAAAAAUUAUUUGUUGAAAAUGGAAAUGCAUUGGUUAUUAAUCAUAUAGGAUCAGCAAUACUUACAACUUCAACUUCGAAACCUUUAUUGCUUAAUCAUGUCCUUUAUGUACCAAACAUAACCAAAAACUUGCUUAGUAUUUCAAAACUUGUGGCUGAUAAUUUUGUUGCUGUUGAAUUUCUUGAUAAUUGAUGCUUUGUCAAGGCCAUGGACACAGGAAUAACUUUACUUGAAGGUGUUGCUAAGGGUGGCUUGUAUCAAGUCAAAAACAUCUUUUCUCAGUCAUCUCAGUCAGCUAUUUUCAACUCAGACAGUUUCAAUAAACCUGAAUCUCUUUUUGCUUCUUGUGCUAUGUCUCAUGUCAAUAAACCAGAAGUUGUAAAAGCCUCUGAAACAAGUUUUCAGUUUGUUUUUUCUGCAGUUGCACUGCAAUCGGUUAGUAUGGAUGUUUUUCAUAGGAGACUUGGGCAUCCAGCACCUUAUGUUCUCAAAACAAUAUUCAAAGCUUGUAAUGAUUCUGCUGUUUUUAAUAAGAUUGAAAAAUUGUCUUUCUGUAAUGCUUGUCAAUAUGGCAAAAAUCACAUGCUUCACUUCAAUUCAGUAGAAACCAAAACAACAUUACCUCUACAACUGAUUUAUGCUGAUCUUUGGGGGCCUUCUCACACUUUUUCUACUCAGGGAUACAAAUACUAUCUUUCCAUCCUUGAUGACUUUAGUAGAUUUACAUGGAUAUUUCCCUUAUCUGCAAAAUCAGAUGCCAUUGAAGUCUUUUCAAACUUUAAACUCUUCAUAGAAAACCAUUUGCAGCACAAAAUUAAAACUGUUCAAACUGACUGGGGAGGGGAAUUCAGAACCUUUACCUCUUUACUCAAAGCUUCUGGCAUACAUUUUCGACACCCCUGCCCACAUAUACAUCAUCAAAAUAGGAGAAUUGAAAGGAAACACAGACACAUAGUUGACAUUGGCUUAACCCUACUAGCUCAAGCUCACUUGCCUCUUAAGUUUUGGUGGAAUGCUUUUCACACAGUUGUCUACCUAAUCAAUAGACUUCAUACUCCAGUUUUAAAUAACAUUUCACCUUUUCAAAAAUUGUUUAAUCAAACACCAAACUAUUCCUUUCUCAGAACCUUUGGUUGUGCCUGUUAUCCAGCCUUAAGACCAUACAAUAAACACAAGUUGGAUUUCAGAACUUGCAGGUGUAUAUUCCUUGGUUAUAGCUCUUAUCAUAAGGGUUAUUUGUGUCUUCAUUCUUCAGGACGAGUUUAUACAUCCAACCAUGUUGUUUUUUAUGAAAGUUCUUUUCCUUAUGUUUCUGGUUUAGAUUUUUCAUCUCUAGAUAAAUGUCAGUCUCCAGUUUCUUUCUCAGAGUCAUCUUUCUCUUCUUUCUCUUCUUCUUCUGUUCCUUCCUUUGUUCAUCUAUAGGUUCCUUUAGCAACAUCAUCAACAAGUAUUCCUGAUGCCUCACAAAUACACAUAAACCAAGAUUCUUCUCCUUCCUUACCUACUGAAUCAUUCAGUCCCUCCACACAUCAUUCACCAGCUCAUACACUACCUUUAUCUCAAUCCACUGGUCAUCAAAUGAUAACCAGGUCAAAAGCUAGCAUCUUCAAACCAAAAGCUUAUUUGUCAGCUCUAUUAGCUCAGCCUUCUGAACCUCUUUCAACAUCUCAAGCCCUUGCUGAUCCUAUGUGGUUCAAAGCUAUGCAAGAAGAAUUUCAGGCUCUUCAAAGCAAUAAGACAUGGGAAUUGGUGUUGCCUGAUACACCUGUUAAAAUAGUUGGAAAUAAGUGGGUUUUCAGAAUCAAAUACAACUCUGAUGGAUCUAUUUCAAGAUAUAAGGCUCGAUUGGUUGCUAAGGGGUUUCAUCAAACCCAAGGAGUUGAUUACACUGAAAUUUUUAGUCCAGUGGUUAAAGCCUCAACAGUAAGGGUAAUUCUCAGUUUAGCAGUUCUUAACAAAUGAGUGAUUCGACAAGUGGAUGUCAACAAUGCCUUUCUCAAUGGCAUUUUAGUUGAGGAAGUGUAUAUGGCACAACUUGAGGGUUUUGUGAACUCUGCUAAACCUCAUCACAAUUGCAAGUUACAGAAAGCUAUAUAUGGCCUGAAACAAGCUCCUAGGGCUUGGUUUGAUAGAUUCAAAGAUGCAAUGAUAACUCAGUGGCAGUUUCAGCACUCCAAAUCAGACAGCUCUCUCUUCUAUAAGUGGAUAAAUGGUCAUGUAAUUUUGGUUCUGGUUUAUGUAGAUGACAUCAUUCUCACUGGUUCCAAUCCUCAGCUAAUUCAACAAGUGAUUCAACACAUGCAUCACACGUUUGCUUUAAAAGAUUUGGGGGAUCUUAAUUACUUCCUUGGAAUUGAAGUAGUUAAGUCAGCAACUGGUCUCUAUCUAUCUCAAGCAAAGUACAUUGCUGAUAUUUUGGCAAAACAUGAUAUGGUUUAUAGCAGUCCAGUCUCUACACCUAUGUUUACUAGUCAAUAUCUUACAAAGGAUUCAGGUGAUAUCAUUCGGAAUGUGUCUCAAUACAGAAGUAUUGUAGGUGCCUUACAAUAUGUUACCCUUACACGACCUGAUAUAGCCUAUUCAGUUAAUAAGCUUAGUCAAUUCCUUUCCAAUCCACGUACUUCACAUUGGGAUGCUUGUAAAAGGUUGCUGAGAUACUUGAAAGGAACCUUACAUCUUGGACUGCAUUUUCACAUGACUGGAGCACUUCAACUACAUUGCUUCACAGACUCUGAUUGGGCUUCUGAUCGAGAUGACAGGAAGUCAGUAGCUGGUUAUGCAGUCUAUCUCGGUCCAAACUUAGUCUCUUAGUCAUCCAAGAAGCAAGCAGUGGUAUCAAGGUCAAGCACAGAAGCAGAAUACAGAGCUUUGGCCCAUGCUACUUCAGAAGUGAUAUGGAUACAAUCUCUUCUUCAAGAGCUGCAAAUCAAACUUAGUACUACUCCAAUGAUGUGGUGUGAUAAUCAAGGGGCUAUUGCUCGCGCAUACAAUCCUGUCUAUCAUGCAAAAACAAAGCAUGUUGAGCUGGAUAUUCACUUCAUCAGAGACAAGGUUGCAGCUAAGAGUAUUGAAGUUAGUUAUGUGCCUAGUGAUGAUCAGUCAGCUGAUAUAUUAACUAAAGCACUUUCAUUCAAGCAGUUUGAUUAUCUGUGACACAAGCUGAAUGUCUAUCCUGGACAUUUCAGCUUGAGGGGGGAUGUUAGUGAUAUCGAAAGCAGAGCACAGAUGCAGGGUAUGACUGACUGCAGCUGAUUAGCUCAUGAAAGCUGACUUGGCAAGUUAGUUAUCCAGCUCAUCUCACACAACUGAAAUAUAACGAACUGAGUGAAUUGUUGAGUCGGUUUUAGCUUGCUAUAUAAACGUGUAUUUUGCACUCAGAUGUAAGGUUAAGAAACAUCAAUAAAAUCACAGAUUCGUUUUCACUUUCCUUUUUCAUUUUCUUAAGCUUUCUAGUUAACCAAACAACUCUUUUCUAUAGUUUUGUCACAUCUAAAAAUAAGUUCAUGAUUAAGGCCGGCGUAGAGCUAAAAGACUGGCCAAGCAUAAAUACAUUUGAAGAUCUCUGAUACAACUUUGCCCGAGAUUAAUAACAAAUCAGCACUUGAAACAGAGGAAGAAACCCAGCUGGUCGAGGAGCCCAUAAAAGGUCCUGCUCGUAUGCGCAGGGCACCAACAUACCUCAAGGAUUACAUUACCUAAGGAAUAUUCGAGAAGGAACAAAAAGAGUGAGAAAGAUGACAGUUGUGAUUUUGGUUAUUUUGUUGUGACUAUUUGUUUUGCCAAUCAUUACAUAGUUGCUUAGUUACGCUUGUAUUGUUGUGGGGUAAAAGAUAUUUGUAGAGGGCAACACGUCAAAAAAGUGAAUAUAGAAAAUGGCAAAUAUUUCUUCUUCUCUCUCUCCGUCUCUCCUGCUAUCUCUGUUUCUCCAUUAAUUUCAAUUCUUUUUGCUUCUUUUUGCUGGAGUCGGCACUUACUCGAAAAGUGUAUGUCUAUGAUAUAAACUCUGAGUUGCAGAGUUGUAUCAACCUCACUGGAAUCUCGUUGAUGUUCAAUGAGAUUCAUGAGGUGCCUGAUGGGUUGGAGUGUCCAAAGAUCCAGGCUUUAUUCCUACAGAAAAAUUCUCCCUUAGUUAUUCCUGACAAAUUUUUUCAACGGAUGAAAGAUCUGAAAGUUUUAGACAUGGGUAAAAUCUCACGUUUAUCACUGCCUCCUCUCUCAUUCCUUAUUAACCUUAGAACUUUACGUCUUGAUAAUUGCUUUGGCUUGGGUGACCUAUCUUUAAUCGGAGAGUUAGGUCGAUUAGAGAUUCUUGAUCUUUCAAAAUCUCAUAUAAGUGAAAUUCCUGCCAGUUUUCGCCAACUGGCUCAGCUAAAAUUGUUAGAUUUGACCGGGUGUUACGUCCUAGAGUUAAUACCCCAAGGUGUCAUAUCCCGCCUUUGUAAGCUAGAGGAGUUAUACAUGUCAAACAGUUUUCACCACUGGCAGUUUGAGAGUGAAGAAGAUUCAAGAAGUAAUGCCAAAUUCAUUGAGUUACGAGCCUUGAGUCGACUCACUAGUUUGCAUACUGAAAUCCCGAAAGGCAAAAUCUUGCCUUCCGAUAUGUCCUUCCAAAAUCUGACAAGCUUUUUUAUCUCAAUUGGCGUCAGUAGCAUCAACAGUUCUUGGGCUGUUAUAGAACUGUUCAAUAGAAAAUUUAAGAGAUGCUCGAGAGCAUUGUGGCUUAUGCAGAGGAUUGCAGCGCUACAUUCUUGGAUUAAGAAUUUGCUGCUCAGAUCAGAGAUUCUUGCUUUGGUAGAAAUCAACGAUUUGGAGCAUAUAUUCUCGAACCUAGCUAAUAAUGGCUUUAACGAAUUGAUGUUUCUAGCUAUUUCCGGCUGCAAUGAGAUGAAAUGUCUCUUGAACUCAUUGGAAAGGACACUACGAGUAACUCUCCUCAAGCUAGAAUGGUUGAUGAUAGUUGAUAACCGGAACUUUGUUGAAAUAUGCCACGGUCAACUCCCAGCCGGGUGCUUGAGCAAUGUAAAAAGGUUAGAUGUGGCACAUUGUGGCAGUAUGUUGAAAAUUUUAUCAAGUCAUUUGGUACAAAGCUUUCAAAAUCUUCAACGUUUGACGGUAGAAAGUUGUGAGUUGCUGGUGUCUGUAUUCGAAAUUGAACGGGUUGAUGUUGCAAAAGAAGAAAUCGGGUUGUUUUCGUCAUUAGAGAAACUGACUCUGAUCGACCUGCCUCGGAUGACAGACAUAUGGAAAGGUGACACUCAAUUUGUAAGUCUCCGUAACUUGAAGAAAGUAAGAGUGCAAGAUUGCAAUGAGUUGAGACAAGUAUUUCCAGCAAGUCUUGGGAAGAAAGCAGCAGCAGAGGAGAUGGUACUGUACAGGAAAAGAAGAGAUCACAUUCACAUUCACGCCACAACCUCAACCUCCUCUCCGACUCGGAGUUUGGGAAACCUGGUUUCUAUUACAAUUCAGAGAUGUGGGAAAUUACGAAAGCUCUUCACAACCUCCAUGGUCAAAAGCCUGGUGCGACUUGAAAGCCUGGAAGUAAGCAGCUGCCCAACACUGCAAGAAAUAAUCAUGGAUGAUGAAGGAGAAGUGGGACUGCAGGGAGCAUCAACAGAGAAUAUCACGUUUCCAAGUUUGUUCAGCAUACAACUCUGGGAUCUAGACAGCCUCGCUUGUUUCUGUUCAGCAGGUUCACAUGCUACUACUGAAUUCCUAGCUUUGGAGGCUUUGCUAAUAAUUGAUUGUCCAAGCAUGAAGACCUUUGGUUAUGGAGACCAACUGACGCCCAAGCUGCUGAAAGGAGUGAAGUUAGAAGGUGGUGAAUAUCGCUGGACGGGUAACCUUAACCACACCAUUCAACAAUACGUGUACAACGCAAAGGUACGUCAAGUUAGCAAUUGCUUGCCCAUUAAAUUCCUUGUUUUUUUUUUCUUAAUUGUAUUUGUAUGUGGUGGUAAAAUGAUUUUCUACAUCUGCUUAUACUAGCACACCAUUUUAAUUUUGUUUUUCAUUUGGGGCAGAAAAUUCGGGAGAAAGAACCAAUGAAGUCAGGAAUUUCAUCUGAGACUACUUCCUCUAACACUGAGAAUUGAUUGUAUAAAACAAACGGUAUGCAUGCGUAAAAUUUUACUAAAUUCCCUAGAUUUUGUCACAUAUUUAUCCUUUGACAUUGCUCUAACUAGUUCAAAUACUUGAUUUGUUUUCAGAGCAAUUGCAAGUGUCACAAUUUGAGAGAUUUAAGAGAGCUUCUACUUGAGUGUUCUAGUGAGGAUCAAACUGGGUGUAUUGGAGUUGUGAGUUUUGAGAGAGUUUAUUUCCUACUUUUGUAAAUUCAAAUUGAUUAGUAAGAUUAUCUUUCAGUCUUUGUUCAUGGACGUAGGCUUUACGCCAAACCACAUAAAUUAUUGUGUCCUAUUUUCUUUACAUUUGUUUAUCACAACAUUUACAUUUCUCCAAAAGUCGUGAUCACUGUAAUAUUGAUAAUUGCUCAAUCUACACUUUCGCAACAAUUGGUAUCAAAGCAGACAAUUCGUGCUUGAGUUAUACGGCAUUGUUCACGUAUAUAGUACUAUUCACGAAUACGAUAGAGCCAAUAGUUCGUACUUGGAAGUAUCAGGAGCCUGCAAUGUAGUUGUGUGGAUAAAUGCAUGUCUAGGAAAGUUUUUUCAAUAAGAUGAUAGGAGUCUAAGGAGUCGUGGGACUGUUGUGCCCCUUAUAUUGUCUUAAAAACUUUUUUAGUGCAUUAUUUAUAUAAAUAGAUACAUAGUCACUGUUCGAUCAGGUUAAGUAAUUAAAAAAAAAAAAGGGAUGGCAGAGACGACGACAUCAUCUUCAUCAACAAGGACCAUUGUAACGAAUGUGAAAUUUGAAGAGGAGAAAUUUGAUGGUACCUAUAAUUUUGGUAUGCGGCAAUGUGAGGUGUCGGAUGCCUUAUGUCAGCAAGAGUUGGACAUCGCCUUUAAAGAAAAACCUAACAAGAUGGAUGCCAAAAAGUUGAUAAGGAUCAAUGGACAAGGAUGUGGUACUAUUCGCCUAUGUCUGGAUAAAGAUAAAAAAUACUCUAUCACGAGGGAGACAUUAGCAAAAAAAUUGUAGAAGAUACUGGAAGAAAAGUACAUAAAGACAAGUCUUGAAAAUAGAUUUUAUAUGAAGAAAAAAAACUCUAUUAAUUCAUGUAUGCACCUUGCAUAUCGAUGAAUGACUAUGUAAACUCAUUCAACAAUAUAUUGGCGGACUGCUAAAUUUGGAUACGAAAUUCAAAGAUGAAGAUAAGGUAUGGUUGCUGUUGAAUUCCCUUCCUGAUGAAUAUGAUCAUCUCACCACUACUUUGGAUUCCUAAUGAAUAAAUUAAAGUCCUUCAGUUUAGUAAAAUUCUUUUGUUACCUUAAUAGUUUCAAUUUUGAGCAUUUUAAUCCUCCUUUAUUUACGACGUCGUUAUUGUAUUAUUUGAUACAUGGAACAUUAAUUAAAUUAUUGUGGAUCUUUUACUCUUGGCAGCGUUGAAUGAUCAAAUAAGAAGUGAAAUCCAGCAUAUGAAAACCGUGCUUGGACAAAACAUACCUAAUAAUUGGAGCUCUCAUUAGAUUAUCCAGAAGCAGUAGCAGUCAGGACAUGAAUGCAUCCAUAUAUAAGCGCUGCCGCACAACAGCUUCCAGAGCUCCAACUUCAGAAUCCGUAUCAGAAGCAACAAUCACAGUAUGAUUUUCAGCAGCAACCAUAUCUUAGGCUAAAUAGUUUUGGAGUUCAAAAGGAGCAAGGGCAAUGCAGCCAACUUUAGUAGCAGUUGCUGCACCAAGAGAAUCCACAGCCACAUGAUCAUUAUAAAAUACAAAACAAAUAGGCACAAGCCCACCAAAUUCAACUACAAUAACAGCUGCCGGAACUUUAAGCAGCUCCAUGCCGUGAGCUUCAUCAUUGGAGAGUGAGGACAGAAAUGAGGCACCAUCAUUCUAAAGAUUUUUUUUUAUAUGAUUCCUAUUAUCGGAUGAUUAAGUACUAUCUAUGUUAGUUUACUAUGUUGUGGUAUUGUGUUGAUUGCUUAUUUCAAGAGAAAUUUAAUUUGUUGUUUGAAUUGUUUGUGUUUGGAGUUUAUUAAAAAUUCAUAAGAAUAUUAUUUGCAAUGCAUUAUAUCAGUUAUUAUAAUUUCCAGAAUUCCAUAAAAUGGAUUUGAUCGAUGCUGCUUAAAUCUUGAUUUUUGAAGGGCUUAAGUUGGUCUUUGUUACACACAUAUAGUUCUUCUCUAGUGCGGGAGCGCUCUUUUUUUUUUUAUGCGAAUACAAUUUAAAAUCGUGGAGUUUAAGAGAGUUAGUUUUUAACUCCCUAAAACCGUAAGGUUUUAUUAAAAAAAAUGUGAACGUCCGCACUUGAGAAUGAUAUUAUAUAUAUAUAUAUAUAUAUUAAAUUGGUUAUGUGCACAUCAUCAUUUCAGCACGUGAUAUGUAUAAUCAUUUCUUGAUUCUCGCAUUCUUUCUUGAUGAGCUACAUAUACAUAUUAGCUAUAAAUAAAUAGAUUGUAAUUAUACUUGUUAAUUAAUAGCUUGUAUCUACUCAUACGUCUACUUUCUUGCAACAAUAUUCCAAGGUAUAACACAAAAAAUUAAAUGUUUAAUCAGAGUUCCAUUUUUUUUUUUUUUUUUUUUCUUGUGCAUAAUCCUUUCAUUAUAAAUUGCUUAAUAGAAAAAUGGUAAAUGAACAAAUGCAAGAGCAGCAAGACAAAGGGUCAACAGAAACGGCAGCCAAUCACGCGUUCCUUUUUGUAAUUGUUUUUUGGGCCAACAACAGAUAAUAAAAUAAGUUUAAAAAAGGGGAAAAAAAUACUCAAAUAUCUUCUGAUAAAGGAAACUCCAUCCACUCAUCCUUGACUCAUUCUCCACCUACAUCAUUCCCGUCCGUUUCACAACUCCACUCGUCUCCGUCACUAACUUACGCUCUAAACACUUCGUCCCCUCCGUUUCCCAUCCUCCAAUCGUUCUCCACCCACAUCAUCUCUCUGUUUCACAACUCCACUCAUCCCCUCACCAACCACUGCUCUAAAUACUUCGUCCCCUCCGUUUCCUUUCUCCACUUGUCCCCGUCCAUUACUUUCUAUCAAUUCAAAGUAAAAAAAAAAAUCAUAACAAUUUAGAUAUAUAAAACGCACGCAUCCAGGAAUUUUUACAAAUUUAAUCCAUCACUUUCUAACAAUUUAAAUUAAAAAAAAAAUUCUAACAAUUUAAAUAUAUAGAACACAACCAAAAAUGAAUUUUAUUUAAAUGUAGUGGGAAAUUGAAAGUUACCGAUUAUCUGGCUACAAUUUCAUCAACGUUGUUGGCGUGGUCUUUGGCACCAAAUUCAGAUCUUUGAAUGCUGGUUUUAUUUCAUUUUUCUUUUGUUAAUGCAAAUGCAAAUCUGAGUUUGUCGGGUUUGGCUUCCUCUGCUUGGGGGAUAAUGGCGUUGAUGGCACAGAAGUAGCUUUCUGUGUUUUAGCUUUUUGUCAUUACUUUCUUCUUUUAAAGUUUUCUUUUCGUUACUUUUUCAUGAUUUUAAUAUUUUAUUUUCAUUAUUUUAAAUUUUUAAACAAAAAGAGAAACAUAAGUGGGACCCAAAGAAACGGCAGGGGGCGCUGCCGUUUCUGUCGGCCCUUUGUUCAUCUAGCUGUGUUAGUUAUCUCUUACAGGUUAAUAAAAGAAAGUACUAUAGUGCUAAAUCACAAUGGUAAUAAUGCUAGAACCACUAAUCCUUUUGUAUAAGGAGUUUGUUGCUCUAUUAUUAAAAUAACAAUAAUAAUUUAAAAAUAUAUAUAAUCUUUGUUGUAAUGCUUUUGUACUCUUCUCAAAUUUCACCAUGGAAAAUAAUAUAUAUGAAAGCGAGUCGCCUUGAAAGCAAAGGCAAGACUGCGACCACGUCUCUUGUGAAUCAUUUCUUAAUUCGUUUGUUCUUUUUUUUCCUUUGCGUGGUGUGGCUGCUUAAUUCUUCUUUAUCUACAAUAUUCAUAGAAAAUAAUAUGUAUAGAAACAAGUAUGGGAUUGAUCCAGCUACAUAACAGCAUAUAAUAAAACCACAUCCUGUAAAUAAAAAGAAAGCUAUUAUAUAAAUGAAACGAAACGAAACGAAACCUACAGGUUUUACGUACGGACUAGACUACUAAAUGCUAAAAUCUAAAAAUUGAUACCAUUUUAGUAAUAUCAUUAACAUAUUUUUAAUAAACAACGCACAAUAGAUAAUUACUGAACUACAAGAAAGUUUAUAUAAUUUUCUGAUAAAUCGCAUAGUUUAUAUAAUGCAUAUAGCCAAAGAAAGAGAAAUUAAGGAUUGGUGCAUUGUUUCACUUGAUUAAAGAUCUGAUACAGGGGGCCAUGAGCAGACAGAAUUCACGUGCAAUUGUUUCAAUUUUUUUUUUUUCCCCACUAGUCUCCUUUGCCAUAUCAAACUCCAGAAGUAAAAAUCUCAAUUCACAAACCACAAAGAACAAGUGAAAAGAUUGAAGGUCUGAAAGAUCGGGUCCACAUCUUCAAGAGAAAGAGUAACGCAUUUGACACUUUUGAUUUUAAAAAGCUUUAUUGGCAGACACACAUAAUAAUUACGGAGCACAUACAAAAACGCAAUAAUGCCAUGUAAUGAUAUUUUUAAAAUAGACGUAAUAAUUUUCACCAACCACGAGAUAACUAUUAUUCUUCUUCAUGUAGUUUUCUCUUAUCAGAUAACUACUUUCAUUUAUUUUUCUUUAAAUUUCUCUUAUAAUUAUUACAAUAAUUUAUAUAUUUAUGUCAUUAUAAAAUAAAUAGUAAAUGAUGAAUAAAAAUUAUUUCCCUCCCUUUGUUUGCCUUUUUUAAAAUUAUUCAACUUGUUUUCUAAGGUUAAGAAUGAAGGAAUAAUGGUAUAAAAGGUAAUGAGCAGACAGUAAUUUAGGCUAGGAUGUAUGUAUUUUCUGGGUUAAUGAAAGGGUGAGAAAGCAAUCAACUGCAAUAAUACACUCUUAAGAAAAAGAAGAGCGUCAUAACAGAACAAAAAUUGUAAUCGGACAAAGAAAGAUAGUGUACAAACAAUAAUUGAAGAGAGAAUGCUCAUUAAGGAAUAUGGCAACAGAUGUCCAAAACUUAAAGGCCCUCGCGAUGACCCUUGAAAAAAGCAUAUAAUCACGUUACACAAAAAGGCAUCUUUGUAACAGUCAUUUAAAGUGGUGAGUAAUGAUAGAUGUCGUCUUUUAUGAGCUAUCGACAUCGCAGAUGACGCUUUUAUAGAUAUAAAUACACAAGUUAUUUUAUUAGUCAUUUUCGUCUAUUUUACAAUGAUUUAAAUAUACAAGUUAUUAUAAUAAUUAUAAGAAAAAUUUAAAGAAAAAUAAAUGAAGGUGGAUAGUGGUUGACUGGUGGAAGGAAAAUAAAUGGAGGAAGAUAGUAAUUGUCUAAUAGUAUUGGUGAUAAUUAUUAUGUUUAUUUUAAAAAUUAUUAUUGUGUUUUUUCAUGUGCUCAGUAAGAAAAAUGAUAGAUUUUUAAAAUUUAAGUAAAUGUCGGGUAUCUUAAGGAUGAAGUUUUUCAUUAUUAUUCUUGUUGCUAUUAUUAUUAUUAUUAUUUAGAUUGUUUUAAAUUUGGAUAUAUACUUAAGUGGAAAGAAGAAAAUUGGAUAUUUAUAUAUUUAUUAUGUUGUAGUAAAAAUUGAUUAAUUAUUCAUAAAUUUUAAAAAUCAGUAUGUUGAUUCUUUAGUGCAAGUAGUCAUAUUUUCAUAAAAAUGAAAUCUACUCUGAUUUAGUGCAUGACUUAUUACUCUCGAGAUGAUGAAAUCCUUGCUAAUAAUAGUUUUAACAUGCCAUUGUUAUUACUUAAGUUGAAAAAAGAAACAAAAAUUAUGAGACUGGUUGAAUAACUAACUUGUCGAUAAUAGACAAUUAAAUUUAGGUUACUAAUGAUUAUCCAAUUUGGUAAGUCUAGUUUAUAAAAGUCAAAAGCAAGAAAUCGCACUAUAACAAUAUCAAGUUUCUUCUUCUUCUUCUUCUUUUGUGGGUAAGAUAAGUCCUAAUAAUUCUAUUGUUAAUCAUAAUGCACUUUUCUGCAUAUUGUAGUUGGUUGGAUAAGAUAUUUAGUUAAAAUGUUCUAAAAAUUUUAAUAGUGUUGUGUGCAUUGAUUUUGGCUAUUUUGUAUAUGGUAGUUGGUUUUUUUUUUUUUUUAAUAUUGAUAUACCAGAGGUAUUUACAAUUACGAUAUAGUAAUAAGACUUGUGUACAUUAAUUUGACCCUUAUACAUUUUGUGAGAGAUAACACUAUUACUACUCAAUGUCUCAAUUAUGAAAUAAUUGAAGAUGGAUUGCAACUAAUUUUCGUAAUACUUUUAAAGAGACUCGAACUUUUCUCCUAUGCCAAAGGCUCAUUAGUGUAAAUGGUCGUUGGUUGAAUCAGAUACUCUCAUCUCAAGAUAGUGUUAAUAAAGUCAAUAGCAACCAAAUGAACAAAGUAUAUAUAGAAGAAUAGUUUCGACUAAAUUCAAUAGACACCUCCAUGACGUUGGCAAGGUAUGCAUAUAAAUUAUAAUUAAUUUUGAUUUAUUUGUAUCUUUCAUAUUGGUUAUGCACACACAUAAUUGUUGCAUUAUUUUUAACUAUUUUAAUUUAGUAUUGGGGUAUUGUUGCAGGAUUAUGAAUGUUGUUAGUUGCCUCCGAAAGGGUGUUUUGAUCACUUGUGAAGAAUGUAGUUUUCCUUUGUAAAGAAUGUUUUGUUAUUUACGAUGUAAUGGAUAUCCAAUUUGGGAUGUGUAAAACAGGAAAUACCAGUCAUUUGAAUCAUAAAUAGUAUUUGCUGUACAAUAAAUUUAUGUACUUUCUAGAUGCUUGAUAAUGCAGUCUUUGCCAAUUCAUAUUAGCUUAAUAUGAAAAUUAAAUAGUAGAUUCAAAUAUUUUUAAAUAUUUUAUAAUUUAAAAUAAUAUUAAUUAAUUCAAAAAUAUCACCUUUAUCAUCCAAAGAUGACUCCCAAUAUAAAAAGUUAGUCUUUUGUUCAAAUAAAGUUAACAAUUACUAAGAAAAAGAGUGUCAUCACUUUGGUCAUGUUUGGCAUGCCGCAUUAUACUGUAUUAGCGCUCUGCAUUGCAUUAAAAUAUGACAAUACGAUGUUUGGCACUUCUCUGAUAUUGCAUUAAAAAAAAAUUAAUGCGGGAAACCCCGCAUAACGGAAACCCGAGUGAAACUCGGGUUUAUACUGUAUUAGCUUCUUCAUCUUCGUCUUCUCUAUUUCUCUCUCUUUCUUUUUUUCCUUUUCCUCUCUUCUUCUUCAUCUUCCCUGUUACUCUCUCUCUCUUUUUGUUUUAUUUUUUUCCUUUUCCCCUCUUCUUCUUCGUCUUCGCUGAUUCUCACUCUCUCUCUUUUUUUCUUUUAUUUUUUCCCUUUUCCCCUCUUCUUCUUCGUCAUAUCUGUUUCUCUCUCUCAUUUUUAUUUUUUCCUUUUCCCCUCUACUUUUUCGUCUUCUCUGUUUCUUCUUCUUCUCCUCAGUUUCUUGUUUGUCAUCUUCUCAUCCAUUUCUCAGUUUCUUAGCUCUUUUGCUUUUGCAUUUGCUGCUUCCUUUUUUUUUUUUUUUUUACUUUUGCUUUUGCUUUUUUUUAAUAAUAAGAAAUAAUAUAACUUUUUAAUAUAAUAUAAUAUAAUAUAAUAUAAUAUAAUAUAAUAUAAUAUUUUAUUUUAUUUUUAUAUCAUAAUUAUUAAUAUAAAUUAAUAAUUUAUUAUUCAUAUUUUAAUUUUUAUUAUAUUAAAAAUAUUACUAAAUAAUGUAUUAUUUAAUUAUAUAAUAAUUAAUAUAUCAAAUUGAUUAAUAAGUACUUAAAUAAUAUAUAAAAAUAAGAAUAUAACUUGAUAUUAUAUUAUUUAAUUAUAUUAUAGUAAUUAAUAUAUAAAAAAUUAAUAUAACUAAUAAAAAUAUUUAUAUAUGAAUAAAUUUAAAUAAUAUUAAUUUAAAAUAAAUGUUAUGCUGUCGAUUAUAAGACUAUAAGCUUCAAUCUUUAUGGAAAAAUUAUUUUUUUAAUAUUUAUACUAAAAAAUAAUGUCAACUUUUUAAAAUUUAAGAUUUCUAUAUUUUGUAUUUUUCUAGAUACUAAUAAAUAUUAUUUUCUAAAUAUAUAAUUUAAGUUAAUCAUAAAAAAAUUAAUAUAGUAUAGUACAGCACCAAAUAUUAUAUAACAUUAUUAUAAUACAGUGCUAAUGUAAUACAACAUAAUAUAAUAUAUCAACAUAAAAAUAAUAAUAUAACAUAAUAUAAUACAAUAUAUUAAACACACCCUUUAAAAAUUAUUAGAGAAUUUUCCUUAUUAUAUUAUUUGAUGACUGAUAUUUUACAGCAUGAGUCAUGUACAAAACAGUCAUCUGCAAUAUAGAUAACUUAUUAAAGACGACAUCUAUCAUUACCUACCAUUUUAAACAACUGUUUUAAAGAUGAUUUUUUUUUUUUUUUUGCCGCGUCAUUAUGUAUCUUUUUCAAGAGUCAUCUUUAUCAUUUAUUGUAGUGCGAGGGCCUUUAAGUUUCGUACAUAUGUUGCCAUGUUCAUUAAUGGGUAAAGUUUAUGUUACAUUAAGUGUAUGUUACAAUUAUAUAUUUUUAAACCCUUAGAAAAGAUAAUAAUUAUUAAAAAAGUCAAUAAAUUUUAAUGUUUUACAUUAUACCCUAUAUUAUUUAUACUUCAGGUUAUUUACACCCAAGUUGUAAUAUUUUAAUUUUUUUGAAGUUCUUCAUUUAUAUUUAUAGCAAAGUUAGUAUCAAAUUGCUCAAUAAAUUUUUUUAUUUUAUUUAAUUGAAUCUUUAACUUGUUUAAUAUUAUAUUUAUUGAGUUUUUAUUCAUUAUAUUAAUAAUCUCUUGGUUUAAUAUAUCAUGAUUUUUAAUGUUGAAGUCUUUUAUGAAUUGUUCAACUUUAUUAAAUUCUUUACUUAGUUGAUCACUUGAUCUCUUAACUUUUUAAUUUAUUUUAUAUCCUUCAUUGAAAUUAUUAAUUUCUAAUAUUUUGUUUACCAUUUCUAUAUCAUUUAUAGAUAAAUUUAGAUUUUCUAAUUUAUUUAAUAAAUAUAGUGACAUUCAAUUUAAUUGAUUAUUUCUCCACAUGUUUGAAUCAUUGAUAAGAUCAAAGAAUUGGAAUCUUUUUAUUAGAGGCUUCGGUAAUUUAUUCAUUAUACCAUCUUUUUAAUAAUUCAUUAGAUUUAUAAGAUAUUUAUUUCAUAUAAUAUCUCUUAUAAUUCAUGAUACUAAAUUUAAAUUACAAAAUCUGUGUGAUGGCAUUGAUGAUAUGUAUUUAAGAAGGAAAAUAGAUUGAGUGUGUGUGUGUGUUAGAAGAAAAUUUUAGUUUAUGUCUCAAGAGAGACAAUAAAUUAUAAAUGUAAGUGUAAAAAUAUAUUCAAAAUUUGUGGAUCUUUAUGAAUAUAAUAAUCAUUUAAAUCUUUUAUAAAAAUGUUGUAAAAACUUUAUAAAGUUUUAAAAAUAAAUGUAGAAAAGAUGGAUGAAAAAAUCAUUUAAUUAUAAAAAAUCAAUGAGGACUUAUUUGAAAAAUAAGUAAAUAUAUGAUUAGAAAUAAAAUUUUUUAUAAAUAUCUAUUUCACCUGUACUUUAUUUUAUGUUAAAAUUAUUUUUAUCCAUUAGAUUUAAGGAAUAUCAAAAUCAAUGGCCUAUAUUCAUUGAUUGUUUGUUACAUUAUAUGUACCGUAGGCUUUGCCUCAUUAAUGAGCAUUCUCUCUUCAAUUAUUGAUUGUACCCUAUCUUUUGUUUUAUAUUUAAUUUGUCGACACUUUACUCUGUCUUUGCCCGAUUACAAUUUUUGUUCUGUUAUGAUGCUUUUCUUUUUCUUAAAAUGCACACUUUGACACAAGACCAUUAAUCUGCUCGUCAAUCUCGUGUGUGUAUUAUUGCAAUUGAUUGCUUUCUCACCCUUUAUUAACCCAGAAAAUACAUACAUCCUUGCCCAAAUUACUGCCCGCUCAUUACCUUUUAUACCAUUAUUUUUUUCAUCCCUAACCUCAGAAAAGAAGUUGAAUAUGGCCGCGGAAACUGUUGCUUCAGUUACCCAGCCUAUUACGGAGAAGAUUGUUGACGUGUUGUUCAAUGCAACCGUCCGUCAGUUUGGUUACUUGUGUAAGUACAAACGCAACAUUGAAGCGUUGAGGGCGGAAGCAAAGAAGCUCACAGACAGAAGAAACGACUUGCAAGCGGAAAUUGAUGCUGCAACAAGAAAUGGAGAAGCUAUUAAAGAUGAGGUUCAAAGAUGGAUAGCAGAAGUUGAUGAGAUCAUUCCAAAAGCUGAAAAGUUUUUGGAGGAUGAAGUGAAAGUAAACAAGAAAUGCCUUGGCGGGUUGUGCGUUGAUCUCAAAUCACGUUACAAACUCAGCAGAGAGGCAGAGGAGAAGACUCUGGCAAUUUCUGGUCUCAUGGCUGAUGGAAAUUUUGGAAAAGAUGUGUCUCGUCCUGCUCCUCCACCAGCAAUAAUAUCUUCGUCUGAAGGAUUCUACGCUUUCAAUUCCAGGGAAUCAGCAAUGAAGGAUAUAAUGGAGGCCAUGAAGAGUGAAAAUGUCAGCAUAAUAGGAAUAUGCGGAAUGGGGGGUGUGGGGAAGACCACACUAGUCAAGGAAAUUCAGAAGCAAGCAAAAGAAAUGAAGAUGUUUGAUGAUGUAGCGAUGGCCGUUGUGUCUCAAACUCCAACCAUUACCAAGAUUCAACAUGAGAUUGCUGGCUGGUUAGGUGUUAAAAAACUGCCUGACAAUGACGAGUCAGCAAGAGCUAGUUUUUUGUGGGAAAGAAUCAAAGAGAAGCAGCGAGUGCUUGUCAUAUUGGACGACUUAUGGGGGCGGAUAAAAUUGUCUGAGGUUGGUAUUCCUUACGGGAAGGAUCACAGAGGCUGUAAUAUUUUGCUCACAUCUCGAUCACGUGCCGUCUGCAAUCAAAUGAAUGCUAAUAAAAUUGUUGAAGUCGGAACUUUAACGAACGAAGAAUCUUGGAGCCUUUUCAGGGAGGUAGCUGGUCCAGAAGUUGAUAAUCUUGAAAUAAACCCGACUGCAAGAGAGGUGGCUGACGCGUGCGGUGGCUUGCCAAUUGCGAUUCUCACAAUAGGAACAGCGCUGAAGGAUAGAGACAAGCAUGUUUGGAAAGAUGCAGCCGAACAACUCAAAAGUUCCGCCCCAACGAACAUCGAAGGGAUGGAAGAGUUUGUAGUUUCACGCGUGGAGCUGAGCUACAAUUAUCUGAAAAGCGAGGAGGCAAAAUCAAUCUUCCGACUCUGCAGCUGCUUUCCAGAAGAUUACGAUAUUCCAAUUGAAGUGUUGGCGAGAUACGGAUGGGGUUUGAGGUGCUUACAAAACGUCGAUUCAGUGGAGAAGGCCAGAGGCAGAGCACGUAGUGCUGUAAGUACCCUUAUCUUUUCUUAUUUGUUAAUUGAUGGUGAGGAGGAAGGGUGUGUUAAAAUGCAUGACGUUGUGCGUUAUGUUGCACAACAAAUAGCGUCUAAAAAUAAGUUCAUGAUUAAGGCCGGCGUCGAGCUAAAAGACUGGCCAAGCAUAAAUACAUUUGAAGAUCUGACUGGAAUCUCAUUGAUGUUCAAUGAUAUUCAUGAGGUACAUGAGGGGUUGGAGUGUCCAAGGCUCCAAGCUUUAUUGCUGCAGGAAAAUUCUCUCUUAGUUAUUCCUGACAGAUUUUUUCAAGGGAUGAAAGAUCUGAAAGUUUUAGACUUGGGAGGAAUCCGAGGGUUUUCACUGCCUUCCUCACUUUCAUUCCUUAUUAACCUUAGAACUUUAAGUCUUCAUGAUUGCCGUCGCUUCGGGGACCUACCUUUAAUCGGAGAGUUAAGUCUAUUAGAGAUUCUUGAUCUUUCAGAAUCUGAUGUAAGUGAAAUUCCGGUCAGUUUUGGACGAUUGGGUCAUCUAAGAUUGUUGGAUUUGACAGACUGUGACCACCUAGAACUAAUACCCCGAGGUGUCCUCUCUAGCCUUCGUAAGUUAGAGGAGUUAUACAUGUCAGACAGUUUUUGCCACUGGCAAUUUGAGAGCGAAGAAGAUGCAAGAAGUAAUGCCAAAUUUAUUGAGUUAGGAGCCUUAAGUCGACUCACUAGUUUGCAUAUUCACAUCCCGAAAGGCAAAAUCAUGCCUUCUGAUAUGUCCUUCCAAAAUCUGACAAGCUUUUCGAUUACAAUUGGCGACCUUGAGGAGGACCCUCUCAGUGAUUUAAUAGAACUAUUUUUGGAAAAGUUUAAUAAGAGAUGCUCGAGAGCAAUGGGACUUUCACAGGACAUGAGGAUUUCAGCGCUACAUUCUUGGAUUAAGAAUUUGCUGCUCAGAUCAGAGAUUCUUGCUUUGGUAGAAGUCAACGAUUUGGAGAAUAUAUUCUCGAACCUAGCUAAUGAUGGCUUUAACGAUUUGAUGUGUCUAGCUAUUUUCGGCUGCAAUGAGAUGAAAUGUCUCUUGAACUCAUUGGAAAGGACACUACGAGUAACUCUCCUCAAGCUAGAAUGGUUGAUGAUAGUUGAUAACCGGAACUUUGUUGAAAUAUGCCACGGUCAACUCCCAGCCGGGUGCUUGAGCAAUGUAAAAAGGUUAGAUGUGGUAGAUUGUGGCUGUAUGUUGAAAAUUUUACCAAGUCAUUUGGUACAAAGCUUUCAAAAUCUUCAACGUUUGAGGGUAGAAAGUUGUGAGCUGCUGGUGUCUGUAUUCGAAAUUGAAAGGGUUAACAUUGCAAAAGAAGAAACUGAGUUGUUUUCGUCAUUAGAGAAACUGACUCUGAUGGACCUGCGUCGGAUGACAGACAUAUGGAAAGGUGACACUCAAUUUGUAAGUCUCCGUAACUUGAAGAAAGUAAGAGUGCAAGAUUGCAAUGAGUUGAGACAAGUAUUUCCAGCAAGUCUUGGGAAGAAAGCAGCAGCAGAGGAGAUGGUACUGUACAGGAAAAGAAGAGAUCACAUUCACAUUCACGCCACAACCUCAACCUCCUCUCCGACUCGGAGUUUGGGAAACCUGGUUUCUAUUACAAUUCAGAGAUGUGGGAAAUUACGAAAGCUCUUCACAACCUCCAUGGUCAAAAGCCUGGUGCGACUUGAAAGCCUAGAAGUAAGCAGCUGCCCAACACUGCAAGAAAUAAUCAUGGAUGAUGAAGGAGAAGUGGGACUGCAGGGAGCAUCAACAGAGAAGAUCACGUUUCCAAGUUUGUUCAGCAUA